GAUGAAGAACGCAGCGAAAUGCGAUAAGUAGUGUGAAUUGCAGAAUUCCGUGAAUCAUCGAAUCUUUGUACGCACAUUGCGCCUUCUGGUAUUCCGGAAGGCAUGCCUGUUCGAGAGUCAUUAACAACCGUUUCGAUCCCUUUCUUUCAGAAAUUACAAAGAGGAAAAGGGUUUGGUUAUGGUGGAGGAGGGAAAGGGAGCGUUUAGCCUGUAAAAAAAGAGGCUGUGUUCCGCCUCCCCCCCAAAAUUGUACAGGCGGUCGUGUGCGCCCACGCAUCGAGGUGUUGUAAAAGCUGCCACGGCACUUUUCACCUGUGCAGUGCGAGAUUGGCCAGCCGGUUUAAAAACCCCUCCAAACAAUCAAAGGUUGACCUCGGAUCAGGUAGGGAUACCCGCUGAACUUAAGCAUAUCAAUAAGCGGAGGA
RNAcentral lists this unclassified non-coding RNA (425 nucleotides) under soil metagenome. RNAcentral describes it as "partial contains 5.8S ribosomal RNA, internal transcribed spacer 2, and large subunit ribosomal RNA". The stretch from base 1 to 120 matches the Rfam family "5.8S ribosomal RNA", at positions 35 to 154 of the family's 154-position model. The record is from RNAcentral.